GACUGAAAUGGACUCUGAAGUAAUAUCUGGACUUUGAAAUUGUUUCCUUAACGACAACAAAAAAGGGAGUAAUCCUACCUACUGUAAGAGUCAUGACUCUUGAUUGCAGCUGACAGAAGCUCAUGACAGCCUGGUUUAGAUAAAAGGGGAAAGGACGACUGGAAGAAUCUUGGAGUUGGGAAUAUGGCACAUAAUUGAAGGAAGAGCAAUAAAACUAUAAUGGAGUCUCGCUCUGUCACCAGGCUGGAGUGCAGUGGCAUGAUCUCAGCUCACUGCGACCUCUGUCUCCUGGGAUCAAGAGAUUCUCGUGCCUCAGCCUCCCGAGUAGCUGGGACUACAGGCAGCUGCUCCCAACCCCAGCAACUUUGCUAUCUUAGAACGGAUCACCAGUGAAAGAGGGGAAGUUGCUACUGUGAUGAAUUCUGCCAUGUGGUACCAGACUGCUGCCCAGACCACAGUGUCCUCUGCAACCCUGGUAACUCACAUACAGGCCUGAUUCCACCUACAGCAAAGCUGGAUGCUAUGGUUGGCAGAGGCAAGCCCCUUGCCUGCACUUCAGGCCAAAGCCGGGAUGUGGCCUAGAUGGUUCCUAAGGUCCCUGACAGUCCUGAGAUCUUUCAUCUUGUCUAUUUCAGGUCAAAGGUGCCUACAUGUUCCUUCUAGCUUUGUUUCCCUGAUGUUCCUUGCCACCUGCUACUCCUCUCUGAGCUACUUUUCCAGGUUCCACAGGGAGAGGUUCAGCUGUCCAUGGUAGACAUGAGGGUAGAGAAUGAGAUGGUUGGGUUCCACUUACCUUUCUAUCAUCUUGCAGUAUGGAUGUCUCUUGACUGGUACCAUGUAGACUUUUGAGGGCAGACAGGAGUCUGCAGAGAGAUACUGGGGAUAUUGAGCAGCAGCAAUGGGGUUGGGAGGCAGAAAUGAGGACAGGAACAUUUACCUUGUGUUUCUCUCAGCUUCUCAGAUGACCAAGAUGGUGCUGCCGAUGGUGUUGAGGACGGAGAACCCACCAAGCCC
RNAcentral lists this long non-coding RNA (1014 nucleotides) under Pongo abelii (Sumatran orangutan). RNAcentral's name for it is "lincRNA". Lineage: Eukaryota; Metazoa; Chordata; Mammalia; Primates; Hominidae. The record is from RNAcentral.